Molecule: unclassified non-coding RNA, 193 nt
Filed under: Mortierellales sp.
Lineage: Eukaryota; Fungi; Mortierellomycota
Description: partial contains small subunit ribosomal RNA, internal transcribed spacer 1, and 5.8S ribosomal RNA
Rfam family: Eukaryotic small subunit ribosomal RNA (bases 1-46)
Source: RNAcentral
AAGUCGUAACAAGGUUUCCGUAGGUGAACCUGCGGAAGGAUCAUCAUUAAAUCCAUUUAUACACCCUUGUGAACUGUGCGCUAAAGUUGCUACGCAUGUCGUGUAACUUUUGUUGCAAAAACAACUUAUUUAAUUAAGCUGAAGCAAUUUAUUUUAAAUUAAACAACUUUCAACAAUGGAUCUCUUGGCUCUC